This 1419-nucleotide long non-coding RNA is filed under the name Mytilus galloprovincialis (Mediterranean mussel). Lineage: Eukaryota; Metazoa; Mollusca; Bivalvia; Mytilida; Mytilidae. The record is from RNAcentral.
GUUUCUGUUGUUAGAAGAGAAUGUACAUGUGAAAUACCAGGAAUUGUAAAGAUACUUGCCAUUACAAGGGUUCAUAGUAAGUAUUCUUAAAGAGUUUUCAUUAGAAAGUCAAGAAAAUUUGAUAAACAGAACAGUAAUUAAGAAUGAAGGAUUUUGACAACUGCAUGUUUGAAUUUGAUAAUGUUUUACUCCUGAAAAAAACACCUUCUUGAAAUUUUUGUGUACUCGAUUUUUUUUUCAUCGCCAUAUCGUACCUAUAAUUUUGAUCAAAAUUAUAAUAAAAAAAACAGCAUGAUGGUUGUUUUUAUACAAUUAUUGUUCUAUAUGGUUAUGGCCUGUUAUCUAUUUCUUGCAUUGGGAGAUAUAUCUCGUAUCACACUCCUUGAAAACUUCGUUUCUUUGAUUAGAUUAUCUAGUAUCAUUUGACGAUAUUAUGGCAUUUCAAUUGGCUAUUCCUUAUGUCAUUCAGACGAUUUACCAUGGCAACGAAUAUUUGUGAAUUCUUCAAUUAUAUACAAAACACUCAUAUCUUCCUCUGGAAAUCCGGUAUUUGUCAAAUUAUAUUUCAUUCAGAAAUUUACAAAAAUGAAAUGUCUAAUUUUAAAGUUUUACGCAGUAAAAGGAUAUCUGACAUCUUACAGGCAUGUGAAAAAUACUAGACCAACGAUUCGCGGAAUUUUUAAUACAACACAAAUAAAUUACCUAUACGAGGGCUCGUUCACGUGCAAGACCACCAAUUCAACCACUCCGAUUUAGAAAUUAGCUCUACCCUAACAAAACAUAAUGCUUUUGAUAUCAUUGUUUACUUAAACUAACCAACAAAUUUGCAGAAAUGAAACUUUUGUUGAAAGAGAAACAUUUUUAGACCAUUUUGAGCCAAAACUAACUUCAGUCCAUGAGUUUGCUUUUCAAAUUGAGGAUGUACUUGUCUUCUGAACAAUUGUAUUUAGCUAGAUGACUUUACCCAUAGGUUGAAAAUUGGCAAGCAGAAGGUGAUAAAUGUACAAUUCAAUAUAUACCUGGAUCAUAUGAAGUUAAACUUAAAUGUAAAAUAUUUAGAUAGCUGUGAAAGUUGCAAAAUUUGAUUGAAUAGAUAGGGAUUCUGAAUUGGUGGAUUGACACCUUUAGAAUUAUAUUGAAAUUAAAAUCCCGCGAUAUCCAAUUCUCGCUCGUUAUGAGACCUAUACAUAUAAUGCCUUUAAAUUGCCGCACUACAUGCUUACAAUUUGAAUGUACACUUACUAACCAUUUUCGCUAACUGUGUUCACUAUUAUACAUUCUUUUAGAUACCACUGUUUUGGAGCCGUUCACAGUUACAAUAGAACUGACAGUAUGUGUUAUAUGACGGUUGCAAUUCGAUUACUAUUGGCGCAAACUAUUGCUGCUGUGAAGAAUAUAAAGGUCUUACACACCGUGAUA